Molecule: ribosomal RNA, 253 nt
Filed under: uncultured bacterium
Lineage: Bacteria
Description: partial 16S ribosomal RNA
Rfam family: Bacterial small subunit ribosomal RNA
Source: RNAcentral
UACGGGGGGGGCAAGCGUUGUUCGGAAUUACUGGGCGUAAAGGGUUCGUAGGUGGCCAACUAAGUCAGACGUGAAAUCCCUCAGCUUAACUGGGGAACUGCGUCUGAUACUGGUUGGCUUGAGUGCAGGAGAGGAACGCGGAAUUCCAGGUGUAGCGGUGAAAUGCGUAGAUAUCUGGAGGAACACCGGUGGCGAAGGCGGGUCUCUGGGCCGUAACUGACGCUGAGGAGCGAAAGCGUGGGGAGCGAACAGG